CUGGCAGUAAUAGAAACUGAAGUCCUCUUUUUGUAUCCACAGGAUAGAUACAGUUGGGCCACUCCAGUGUGAGCCUCUCCAUGCUGCCCCAUCAAUGACCCGGAGGGACUUUCUUCCCUCUCUUAGAGAGAGAUGUUCCGUCUCCAUAGGAGCUCAGUUCUGGUCCUCU
Unclassified non-coding RNA from Panthera pardus (leopard), 169 nucleotides. The record is from Ensembl. NCBI's taxonomy places the organism in Eukaryota, Metazoa, Chordata, Mammalia, Carnivora, Felidae.